GAAAAAGUGACACCAGCUCUGGAACCUGAAAGACAAAAGAGGCAUACAUCAACUCAACAUGAAAGUUGAUUGCUGGUCUGCAAGAGUCAUGGGAACAUAAACUGUUGACACACGUUGAUGCCUCUGGAGGGAAAUGCUUCAAUUUUCCCGAGUACAAAUAGCUUAAGAAAGUAAGGAAAGCCUCAUAUCCAACCUUACCACAAGGCAAUAUAUCAAUCAUAGAGUAACUUGGCUUACCUUCCUUUCCACAAUUUCCGUUUCUUUUCCUAAAAAGAUCCCUAAAAAAACUACUCCUCGCAGCUAAUAUACAACGAUGAACACCGAGUGAAACACCCUCAACAACAAUCUCAGCAUCACUAAACUCAGAGCUGGAAUCUAACAAUAGUUGCUCUAAAUUAUUACUGAGUUUACUUAAGCUGAUGAUUUCAUAACUACUCCCUGUCUCAGAUCCACCACAGGCACAUGUGUUUUGGCCUAUGCCAAUGGACCCAUUCGACGUGUUGGAAGUUGAAGUAAAGCUUAUAGAAGAUGAUGGUUCAGCAGAACUUGCCAUUUUCACAAUUGUAUAAGCUAAAAAUACACAAAUAUUAUCUACAUCUAAGAUAGUCAAACUCCAAGAAAAUCAAAAGUCCCCACACAGUCUCUAUGCACAAAAAGAACCUCUCCAAAACCUUAAUCAAUCACCAAUACAAGAAAUUCUUCCUUUCUCCUCACAUUCAACAACGAAGAUGAAGAAACGAAGCAAAUUCCAAAACUAAAACUCAAAUUCUCCCAAUUUCAGUUACAACCAAAUCAACCCUUGAGCAGAAACUAAUAACUCCACCGUAUCUACCAUCAGCUAAACUUCAAUUUCACAGUAAAAAUAGUAUCUUUUUCAAGAAUACAACAUGCAAAUUUUCAACAGCUUGAUCACAACUUACACAAAUGAAAAUUCUACCAACUAAUAACCCUUCAACUACUUGAUCACAACUUACCGAAAUGGAAUAACAUUCAUACCAGCCAAGACAACCAAAAAUAUUUCCAAUUGCAGAGCAAAA
This 1037-nucleotide unclassified non-coding RNA is filed under the name Hevea brasiliensis (rubber tree). Lineage: Eukaryota; Viridiplantae; Streptophyta; Magnoliopsida; Malpighiales; Euphorbiaceae. The record is from RNAcentral.